This 1637-nucleotide ribosomal RNA is filed under the name metagenome. RNAcentral describes it as "bacterial LSU rRNA". It matches the Rfam family "Bacterial large subunit ribosomal RNA", at positions 1260 to 2925 of the family's 2925-position model. The record is from RNAcentral.
ACUGUAAGGAGCAGUGGAGAGUUAAGAAGAGAGAAUGCCGGAAUGAGUAGCGAGAUUUAAGUGAGAAUCUUAAAGGCCGAAUAUCUAAGGUUUCCAGGGUAAAGCUGAUCUUCCCUGGGUAAGUCGGGGCCUAAGGCGAGGGCGAGAGCCGUAGUCGAUGGAUAACAGGUUGAAAUUCCUGUACUGCUUAUGGACAGAACUGUGGGGACGCAGAAGGAGAGCACGAGCCGGAAAUGGAAAAGCCGGUACAAGCGUAUAGCAGUCAUGCAGGCAAAACCGCAUGAAAAAUGUAAAGCGUUAUGUGGAUCGAACAUUAGUAGAGAAGCGUGUGAGCCAGCUGCCAAGAAAAGCCGCUAUUGUUUCAUAAGUACCCGUACCGUAAACCGACACAGGUGGAUGAGGAGAGAAUCCUAAGGCCGGCGGGAGAAGUGUUGUUAAGGAACUCGGCAAAAUGACUCCGUAACUUCGGGAGAAGGAGUGCCACAGAGAUGUGGCCGCAGAGAAAUGGCCCAAGCAACUGUUUAGCAAAAACACAGGUCUAUGCAAAACCGAAAGGUGAGGUAUAUGGGCUGACGCCUGCCCGGUGCUGGAAGGUUAAGAGGAGAGGUUAGAGCAAUCGAAGCUUUGAAUUUAAGCCCCAGUAAACGGCGGCCGUAACUAUAACGGUCCUAAGGUAGCGAAAUUCCUUGUCGGGUAAGUUCCGACCCGCACGAAAGGUGUAAUGAUUUGGGCACUGUCUCAACAACACACCCGGUGAAAUUGAAAUACCAGUGAAGAUGCUGGCUACCUGCGCCAGGACGGAAAGACCCCAUGGAGCUUUACUCCAGUUUGAUACUGGGAUUCGGUACUGUCUGUACAGGAUAGGUGGGAGGCUAGGAAAUGGUGACGCCAGUUGCCAUGGAGCCAACCUUGGGAUACCACCCUUACAGUACUGGGUUUCUAACCUGCAGCCGUAACCCGGCUGGGGGACAAUGUCUGACGGGGAGUUUGACUGGGGCGGUCGCCUCCGAAAGAGUAUCGGAGGCGCUCAAAGGUUCCCUCAGAACGGUUGGAAACCGUUCGAAGAGUGCAAAGGCAGAAGGGAGCUUGACUGCGACACCGACGGGUGGAGCAGAUACGAAAGUAGGACUUAGUGAUCCGGUGGUAUAAAGUGGGAUUGCCAUCGCUCAACGGAUAAAAGCUACCCUGGGAUAACAGGCUUAUCACUCCCAAGAGUUCACAUCGACGGAGUGGUUUGGCACCUCGAUGUCGGCUCAUCGCAUCCUGGAGCUGUAGCAGGUUCCAAGGGUUGGGCUGUUCGCCCAUUAAAGCGGUACGCGAGCUGGGUUCAGAACGUCGUGAGACAGUUCGGUCCCUAUCCGGCGUGGGCGUAGGAUAUUUGAGAGGAGCUGUCCUUAGUACGAGAGGACCGGGAUGGACAAACCUCUGGUGUAUCUGUUGUUUUACCAAAGGCAUGGCAGAGUAGCCAAGUUUGGCAGGGAUAAACGCUGAAGGCAUCUAAGCGUGAAGCCCCCCUCAAGAUAAGAUAUCCCAUCUUCGGAGUAAGACCCCUUGAAGACUACAAGGUUGAUAGGCUUCAGGUGUAAGUGUGGUAACGCACUCAGCUGAGAAGUACUAAUAGGUCGAGGACUUAUGAA